Molecule: ribosomal RNA, 1070 nt
Filed under: Klebsiella pneumoniae
Lineage: Bacteria; Pseudomonadati; Pseudomonadota; Gammaproteobacteria; Enterobacterales; Enterobacteriaceae
Description: partial 23S ribosomal RNA
Rfam family: Bacterial large subunit ribosomal RNA
Source: RNAcentral
GUAUCCUGUCUGAAUAUGGGGGGACCAUCCUCCAAGGCUAAAUACUCCUGACUGACCGAUAGUGAACCAGUACCGUGAGGGAAAGGCGAAAAGAACCCCGGCGAGGGGAGUGAAAAAGAACCUGAAACCGUGUACGUACAAGCAGUGGGAGCACCUUCGGGUGUGACUGCGUACCUUUUGUAUAAUGGGUCAGCGACUUAUAUUCUGUAGCAAGGUUAACCGUAUAGGGGAGCCGCAGGGAAACCGAGUCUUAACUGGGCGUUAAGUUGCAGGGUAUAGACCCGAAACCCGGUGAUCUAGCCAUGGGCAGGUUGAAGGUUGGGUAACACUAACUGGAGGACCGAACCGACUAAUGUUGAAAAAUUAGCGGAUGACUUGUGGCUGGGGGUGAAAGGCCAAUCAAACCGGGAGAUAGCUGGUUCUCCCCGAAAGCUAUUUAGGUAGCGCCUCGUGAACUCAUCUUCGGGGGUAGAGCACUGUUUCGGCUAGGGGGUCAUCCCGACUUACCAACCCGAUGCAAACUACGAAUACCGAAGAAUGUUAUCACGGGAGACACACGGCGGGUGCUAACGUCCGUCGUGAAGAGGGAAACAACCCAGACCGCCAGCUAAGGUCCCAAAGUCAUGGUUAAGUGGGAAACGAUGUGGGAAGGCACAGACAGCCAGGAUGUUGGCUUAGAAGCAGCCAUCAUUUAAAGAAAGCGUAAUAGCUCACUGGUCGAGUCGGCCUGCGCGGAAGAUGUAACGGGGCUAAACCAUGCACCGAAGCUGCGGCAGCGACACUAUGUGUUGUUGGGUAGGGGAGCGUUCUGUAAGCCUGCGAAGGUGUGCUGUGAGGCAUGCUGGAGGUAUCAGAAGUGCGAAUGCUGACAUAAGUAACGAUAAAGCGGGUGAAAAGCCCGCUCGCCGGAAGACCAAGGGUUCCUGUCCAACGUUAAUCGGGGCAGGGUGAGUCGACCCCUAAGGCGAGGCCGAAAGGCGUAGUCGAUGGGAAACAGGUUAAUAUUCCUGUACUUGGUGUUACUGCGAAGGGGGGACGGAGAAGGCUAUGUUAGCCGGGCGACGGUUGUC